UACAGAGGUCCCGAGCGUUGUUCGGAUUCACUGGGCGUAAAGGGUGCGUAGGUGGCGCGCUAAGUCAGGUGUGAAAUUUCGGAGCUUAACUCCGAAACUGCAUUUGAUACUGGCGUGCUUGAGGACUGGAGAGGAGACUGGAAUUCAUGGUGUAGCAGUGAAAUGCGUAGAGAUCAUGAGGAAGACCAGUGGCGAAGGCGGGUCUCUGGACAGUUCCUGACACUGAGGCACGAAGGCCAGGGGAGCAAACGGG
This 253-nucleotide ribosomal RNA is filed under the name uncultured bacterium. RNAcentral's name for it is "partial 16S ribosomal RNA". It matches the Rfam family "Bacterial small subunit ribosomal RNA", at positions 524 to 776 of the family's 1533-position model. The record is from RNAcentral.